RNAcentral lists this long non-coding RNA (852 nucleotides) under Brachypodium distachyon (stiff brome). RNAcentral's name for it is "long non-coding RNA (BDIS_LNC003087)". The record is from RNAcentral. Lineage: Eukaryota; Viridiplantae; Streptophyta; Magnoliopsida; Poales; Poaceae.
GCUAGGGAGCAGUCGCCUGAGAAUCAAUUUUUCUCGGUCGACGCUUGUGAGACGUUGGAUCAAACAUCAAGAUUCGUGGAGCAAGAAGAAAUCGCAUAGUUGUACGAAUAAAUAAGGCAACAUCCAUUUACGGACAGUAUAAUCAUCUUGUUCUGGUGGUCUUGUGCUCGGGUUCUCUAGAUUCGAAUCCUCAUCUCGUCAGAUUUAAUGAAGUUUCUAAUUCUUCAGUUUUUUCUUUUUUCUUUCUUCUUUCUUCACUUAGUUAGAAUGGUGCACAAAAUUUCACUGCAAUUUUUAGAAUCAGGUACAAAAUUUCACUGGUAAUUAGAAUCGCGUAUAAAAUUUCGCGUGCAAUUUUUAGAACUGUGCACAAAAUUUAACGUGCAAUUAGAAUCGCGCAUAAAAUUUCACGUGCAAUUUUUAGAAUAACGCAUGAAAUUUUUAAAAUCGCCAUAUAGUUUCAGGUGCAAUGUUCAUAAUUGUGUACUCUGAUACCUGCUGUCAUUAAUUUCACUUUUUUUGUGAAUAGAGUUGAGACUAUUUUUUGUGGAAUCUAUCCAAGGCCCUGGUCAAAGAAAAAAAAACACAAAAUACACCCACACACACACAGACGGAGGGAUGCAAGGGGACGGAGAUAGGUGGGUGUUUUGCUAAUCACGCUAAUCACAGGCUGCAAGUGGCCGUCGACUCAGUGGUAGGCGUUCCCUUUUUUCUUAACCCACUAACCCUGGAGAAAAUCGCAUGAAUAUUCUCUGAAUAAAAUAAGCUUCUUGUUUUUAACCUGGAGCAAGUUCAAGGCAUAAAACCGAUGUCACAUUUCUUGUGAGAGUAUAUCAUUUUCAUCCAUAGGAG